UAUCAAAAAUCAAUAUCAUUAGAAAAUGUAAAUUGAUAAUUCAAAAUUUUAACAAAAAAAUAGAAAACAGUAGGUAUAAAUAUUAAACAUGUGCUGGCUAGGUUGGGCGGUAGCCUUAUCAUUUUUCUCUUUUGUGUUUGGAUCCUCAUCGCCUAAAUCUUGAAUGCAUGAUUAUUAUAGAAGGUACUAUUUGCAGGAAUUUUGCGAAAUGGAAUCUAUAAAAAUAGUAAUGGACAAAACUUGCAUAUCAUCAAUAAUUCAUCAAGCUUAGAAUAUUUUAUUAUACUCAAUAUAAUAUUAUUGAUAUUUUAUUUAUAAUUAAUAAAUGUUGGUAUUAUGCUAA
Molecule: long non-coding RNA, 343 nt
Organism: Pieris napi
Lineage: Eukaryota; Metazoa; Arthropoda; Insecta; Lepidoptera; Pieridae
Exons: 2
Source: RefSeq, a predicted model, not a curated record